UAACCAUGAUGGGGACACAAGUUAAGUAACUCUUUAAAAGUUCUCAUGCUUGAUAUAAAGUCUCACUAUCUUUUUAUGUGAAGUUUGAGUUUUGCCUUUUCAAAGUAG
Small nucleolar RNA from Carya illinoinensis, 108 nucleotides. Lineage: Eukaryota; Viridiplantae; Streptophyta; Magnoliopsida; Fagales; Juglandaceae. The record is from RefSeq and is a predicted model, not a curated record.